AUGGUCACCAUAAACAUUGUAUAACCUUCUUCAAACAACAUCAGGGUUUGUGGGCAUUACCUUGUAUUAAUUAUACAAUAAAAUCUUUGUUGUCAGGCAUUACUGGUGAUUAAUGGGUUGGGCCCUUGGCCUUCUGCUCUGGCAUUAAUGAUAUCUGUCCUCGGGCCCAACCCAUUAAUCACCAGUAAUGCCUGACAACAAAAAUUUUAGUAUUAUUAAUAAAUAAAAUGUAUUUAUUGUUUAAAGGAAUUUAUCCAUCUUGCAGGUUGACACCAUAAAACAGUUGAAAAGAACAACCAAAAACAGCAGACGUUCUACAGAGACUGCCAAUGUAACAGAAGUGCAACAAUCACCGAUUUCAGAUGAAGAUCAUAAUCUGUCUACUUCAAUAAAUGAUCACACAUAUGACUUGCCUGAUGCUGCUGAAAUGAAGAAUCGGUUGGAUCGACUCAACUCCCAGAGAGAACAUUUAGAAGAACAACUGAGAAAUGUUCGGAGGAGAGAAAAACGAGCAAGGGUAACCUGUGAUUGCCUUUUGCAAGAGCUCAGUGAAAAAAACAUGUUGACAAGUGAAUUGCAAGAAAAACUAAGUUCUUUUGCAGAUGGCUUGAAAAGGUGGACGGUUCACCAGGUUUUAAUAAGGAUGUCUUUGGGACCUUGAAAGAAUUGCAUGAAAAAGAUCCGAAGAACUACACUCUCUGUAACAUCACCCUUGAUGCGAUGGCAGGGCGUUCAUUGAGCAGGGCGCUGUAAGAGACGGCAGCCACUCCAGCCGCUCCGCAGCACUGUUUCUCGUUUUUCAAUCCUUUUUUUGUUUUUCUUUCUUUUUCUUAUCCUACGUUUUACUGAUAGGUAUCCUAUGGAUACGGAAUUUUUUUUGUCAAUUUCCAUGCGGGAACCUCCCAAAUGGAUAAAUAAAAUUGUCUAUCUAUCUAUGGCAAUCAAACACCAAAUUGAGUAUGUCAAUGCUAACAAAAGAAUGGUUGGUUUCGUGGAGCCACUUGGUGACCGGGAAGAUGAUGCCAAAGAAGCCCUCGUGUUUAUGGCUGUUGGACUGCAUGGAUCAUGGGAAAUGCCAUUAGGUCACUUCUUUACAAGAACCCUAAGUGCCUCGGCACAGGCACAGCUUGUUCGUCAUCUGCUUCAUCUUAUGAAUGAAACUGGAAUGAGAGCAAGAGGAUUGACAAUGGAUGGGCAUGCCAGCAAUGUUGCUAUGUGUCGAAUUUUGGGAUGCAGUCUUGACCCACAAAGUUUGAAAACCUCUUUUGAUGAUCCAGCAAGCAGACAGGAUGUUCAUGUGUUUUUUGAUGCCUGCCAUAUGAUGAAGGUAGUUCGAAAUAUGUUGGAAAACUACCAGGUUGUGCAUUCAGAUGAAGGAAGGGUGUGCUGGCAACAUAUUAAAGAUCUCCAGAAGCUUCAGGAUGAUUGUGGACUUCGAGCUGGGAAUAAGUUGACGCGAGAUCAUAUUAACUUCAAGACACAGAAGAUGAAAGUAAAUCUAGCGGCACAACUCCUGAGCAGUUCUACUGCCAAAGCUCUGCGGCUGGCAAACACUUUGGGGCUUCAAAAUUUCAGCGAUGAUGACUGCAACAGCAACAGCAACUUUC
Molecule: non-coding RNA, 1607 nt
Organism: Oryzias latipes (Japanese medaka)
Lineage: Eukaryota; Metazoa; Chordata; Actinopteri; Beloniformes; Adrianichthyidae
Source: RefSeq, a predicted model, not a curated record